Molecule: long non-coding RNA, 8829 nt
Filed under: Sorghum bicolor (sorghum)
Lineage: Eukaryota; Viridiplantae; Streptophyta; Magnoliopsida; Poales; Poaceae
Description: long non-coding RNA (SBIC_LNC012090)
Source: RNAcentral
CCACCUGCUAGCUACAUCAAGGGAAAUUACGUCAAAAUUCAGCUUGGGGGAGAGCACCCCCAUUUAUCCCGAUAAGUAUUUCUAUCUAUCUAUCUUUAUACUUAUACUGUAUUAAAAUAUAGAUAUACAUAACUAUGAAAAACCAAAUAAAGAUUUUGUGUUUAUAUAUAUAUAUAUCUUUUGCUUAGUGUGUUUAAUAAAUAAAUAAAGUGGCUAUGCUAAUCUGUAUCGAAAUAAAACUCAAGCAUGGAUAUGAUGAAUAGUUGCUCUGCCUAAUUUUUAAAAUUUGAAGUUCUCUCUCAAGUUUAGACAUAACUGUUAUAAUUUAAAGCUUGCUCUAGACCUAAACUUGGGGGAUGAAAACUUGAUCUGAAGUCUAAGUUGUUAACGGAUAUGAUAUGGGAAGGUUGAGCUGCUGUUUAUCUGUUCCUAGAGAUGCUAGAAUUCUGAAGAAUUUUAUCUUUGAAAAAUCUUUAAAAUAUUGUAUGAUGAGUUCCCGUAUGAUGAGAGUUUAAAUUCCUACCACAACCAUAUAUACAUGCUUGCUAGACUUUGAGCCACACAUUCACUUUUUACUGCUUAUAAUCAUUGAGUGUGGUCAAGCUGCGUAGACCCUAAGGAGCUUGUCAUGCGGUUAAAAUCAAGAUUCACUUGCACGUUCACUCAUAUAUGCUACUUCUACUCCGGAAGUACCAUCCACAUAUAUCCAUCCAUUUCCAUCUCCAGAAUCACCUAAAAAUAUUCUACUCCUAAUUCAGGAGAGAAUAGCCAAAAACAUCUAUGUUUUUCCCCUGUGAAAUAAAUGCUCAAGUUAUCUUGUUACUACCACUUGCUAUAUUAUCUCAAGAGAUGAGUGCUUUGAAAAAAAAGAAAGAUACGAGGAAAUAAAAAGGGGCAAGUGACCGGAACCUCGAAAGGAAAGGAAAAGUGAGACGAGAGGUAAAAAUGGACAAGUGUCCGACAGUAGAAUUAGGGGUACAAGAUACCCAUCUGAGAGAAAAGAAAAAAAAGAGCAUCUCAUUCUCCUCACAAAGUUUCAAAAAGCAAGAAAGGUAUGUAUCCCCUUGAAAGAGCAAAAGUAGAAUUAGACUUCCACCAUUACCACCAUUAUCACCAUACACCAUUCAUUCGUCACACAAGCACAUCUUGAUUUGGCUUAAUGAUUUGUUUCUUUGGAUCCGUGGUUUGACUAUACAAUAAAUGUCUUGUAAGUAUGUAUAUUAUCUCCCACCUAUGAGCUCCAGAUAUUAAAGCCUUAUUAGAGUAGGGUGAGAGAGAAGACAAUGUCACUAUGCUUCAUACCACAAAUACUAUAUAUAUUGAGAGAAGGCAUAUACCAUCACUGCCUUGGUAAGGAUCUAGAAAUACCACAAAAGAGAGAUAUGAGAGAGUCAUACAAGGAAUCUCUGAGUUUUAUUUGAAAAUCUGCAAAAAAACUCCAGAGUUAUAGCUGAUCAAGAAUAAGAGACAUGGCACUUGACUAGACUGUUCUAUCUUUUAAUUGCUCAAGAUGGAAGUGACAGUUACAAGUCCCAAAGUGAAAGGUAAAGUAAGUAAGUUUUAAGUCUUGACAAUUUACUCUAACUCAGAGAUAAGACCUCAUUUAAAAAGCAUAUGUACCAUCAACUUUUAAAAAUAUUGCAACAACUUCUGAUCCAUCGCUGAGAUUAUCCUUGCUCAGGGACGAGCAAGAGUUAAGCUUGGGGGAGUUUGUUGACGGUCCUUAAGUAUCAAAUUUAAUUAUCAAAUAAACAAAGAAAAGGAUCCAAAUGAAAUCAACAUCUAGACUUAGGGUUUUAUCUGACAGAAUUCCACGAGUUUUGGUAUUUGUCUAUUUCUAUAGGGGGUUAUCAGGAAAUACAAAAGAAAGGCCCACACGUCGGGAUUACAUAGAGAUAUUAACGUACCGCGCAAUUAUCUUACAUCUAGAAGACUCCAGAAGCCACGGGAAGAAAGCGGAGGCCGAACGGGGCCAGAGGCAGGGCGCCCACCCUCCUGCCCUGGGCGCCUGCCCUGACCUGGAGUCCAAUCAGGACUCUGUUUCUCGGGAGAUCUCCACCGACCUAAAGGAUCAAGGAUAACCGUUCAAUCUAUGUCGGUUUGAUCUUACGGCCCAGGUUCACUUGAGGGGACUAUAAAACCAGACCCCCUGGCCCCUGGAGGAGGCAACCCCUUGAUCAUUAUUCAUAGACAGAGCAAAAGCUAGGGUUCAGAGAUGAGAGCUCUCCUCUCUUCUCUAAACUAGAGUAGAUCUAGAUAGUAGCGAGAUGGAGAGCGAAGGAGGAUUAGAGGAGAGGCCGGCCUAUCGGUUCUUCCUCCGGUUGUACUUCGUCAUGAUCAAGCUCUAAUCAAGCUUGCUCAUGGGAUGACUCUGGUAAUCUACUUCUAAUUCAUUAUGCAAUUACUAAUCAUGUAUGUUCUGCUUCACAACUCUUUUGAGUACUUCUAAUCUAUAGGACGCUUGUUGGCGGUCCUUAAUGCUCAUAUUUAACCAUCAAUUAAUCAUAGAAAAGGAUCCAAAUGCAACCAACACCUAGACUUAGGGUUUUAUCUGACAGAAUUCCACAAGUUUUGGUGUUUGUCUAUUUCUGCAGGGGGUUAUCAGGAAAUAUAAAAGAAAGGCCCACACGUCGGGUUUACAUAGAGAUAUUAACGUGCCGUGCAAUUUUCUAUCAUCUAGAAGACUCGAGAAGCCACGGGACCGAAGCGGAGGCCGAGAGGACACAGGGACAGGGCGCCCGCCCUCCUUUCCUGGGCGCCCGCCCUCAGCCAGAGUCCAAUCAGGACUCUCUUUCGGGAUAUUGCUCCACCGACCUAAAGGAUCAACAAUAACCGUUCAAUCAAUGUCGGUUUGAUCCGACGGCCAAGAUUCACUUGAAGGGACUAUAAAACCAGACCCCCUGGCCCCUGGAGAUCAUACCUCUUCUACAGAAUCAAAGCUAGGGUUUCAAUUCUUCAUCCAAGUAGAGAGGAUCCCUCUAGUUCUUCUAGUUCUACUUCUAGUUCAUCUAGAUCUAGUUCUAGUUCAUCUAGUUCUAGUUCUAGUUCCUCUAGUUCUAGUUCUAGUUAGUUCUAGUUGUAAUCUAGAAAAUAGGGAGAGAGAAGAGGAGAGCGGAGGAGGAGCCGGAUCUGUCGGAUCUUCCUCAACAUUAUACUUUUGCAGCAUCUGGUUCGUUCUUCAUCGUUCUCCAGGUUCUUCAAUUCAUAAUCCUGAGUUCUCUAAUUACUUUUAUUUACAUUCAAGUUAUUUAUUGGAUUCCCGCUAGCAUCAAGUGCUCUAGUCCUUAUAAUGCUAGAGUAGUAAUUAAUAGAUUAGACGUGGUGUUUAGUCUUGCAAUUACCUGGAAUUGCACCCAAUCCUGCGGAUUGUUGUGGUAGCCUUAGGGUAGUGACAGCCCUAACGGUCGACGUAUUCCACCACGUUCGGAUCGGUGUUUGUAGGACCGUAGUCAGACCUUCCUAGCCCCCUACUCAUCUUUUUCUGUGGUUAGUGCUCUGAUGUCUCGAAAUAGAUAAUCUUGAAGUAAUUCUUGAUUCUUAGAUCAACUAGAGAACUCUCAGGAAACUUCCUCUCUUCCCACCAAAAAUAAUUAUAUAGUUAUCCUUGGGCGAUCUUGGAUCUUAAUUAGUACACUCACGUUCCCUGUGGAAAAUCGAUACUCUGGAAUACUCUCGGGUGAAGGCUACAUCGGUAUCCGUGCGCUUGCGGAUUUUUCUGUUUGCGUUUAAAAUACCCAACAAGCUUUCUGGCGCCGUUGCCGGGGAAUGGUAGCUGUGCUAGUUUCGAACCAAGUCGUCCGUGUAUCCUUUUUCUUUUCCUUUUUUACCACACUCACCCUAUCACUUUCACCAUACCACAUGGAUUUCACUCUAAGCAUUAAUGAGCAUGGAAUUUAUUUAAUAGCCACUUCAUUUGCUCCAUGCUCAUAUGCAACAUCUUCACAAUCCAUUGGUCUCUCCAACAUCACCACAUUCGAGAUCUCCAACCCCCUCAUCCUUUCUAUUUAUAAAAACUUUAAAAGGGCGGUUGUCGAUGCAUAUGUCUAUAAUAAAUUUUGCAGAUCUCGUUGAGUUGAUCUUGAUAUAGGUCAGCGUUGGAGGGGAAACCACUUCACUGACAUAAAUGGAUGGUUUCCCAAGGACAAACUUAGUGUCCUAAAACAAGCACUGAUCAGAUGUAACAUGAGCUUUUAAUUAUUUGCAACAUUACCUUGUGAAUUGAGCAUAUAAGGAUAAUUGUAAAAAUUCCUUCGGGUAUUCUUGUCACUAACCUUUCCAAGAUUAGAGCAAGAAGAUCGGAUGAAUGACAAGCACAAGGUAUGCCCAACCAAUCAUCAUACAACAUUUAAUUAAAUUCAUCCAAACUUGAAUUUUGCAAAAUUCAAGCUUGGGGGAGUACUUUACAUAAAAACAUCCUUUGUCAUGUUGCUAUGUUGGUUGUCCCUACCUUUGAGACAUGCUCAAUUUGUUAAAUACCAAUCACACUACUUCAUCUCCACUUGAGUAGAUCUCUAUAGAUGCUCUCAUGCUACCUUUAUUUGCUUUAGUAUAUAUCUAGGUUUGGAGUAGUUUCAUUUAUCUCUUAAUUAAGCAUGGUGCUUAGUUUAGGAAUGAUGAUCUUAUUUCCAAAGGAUUUUAAAUUAAGCAUGAUGCUUAGGUUAAAAUUCCCUCCUAAAUCAAAUUAGACAUGGUGUCUAGGUUGAUCUUUGAGCCGAUAGUAUGCUAUAGUAGAUAUUGGAUAUUUUGUUGGACUAACCCCUACAGGAAAACUUUCAAUACCGACCUGGGAAGUCCUGAGACAAACUCACAUUGGAGACAAAGAGAGAGGCACAUGAAGUUUAACAAUUUACACAAGGAAGGCAUGGCUCAUAAGAGAUGAUCUAUGGAGGGUGCCACAAACAUGAUGCACAACCGCUAAGAAAGGAAAGCUUCCACAAGGUGAUACUGUACCAUCACUCUUCAAGUAAGGUAACAUCUUAAAGUACUUGACUAUCACUUCUAUAAGCUUCUCCUUGGUUCUGGCGUUCACAUGAAUAAAGAGACAAACAUGUAUGAUUUACAACUCUAGAUGAACCAACCCAAUAGAUUCAACAUGUUUAGUCCUUCCACCUUUGUGAUCCCACACUCCUAAUCAUAUUAGCUAAAAUGUUGCACACUCAAUCUUUGGAAGAAAAAAACAAAACAUAUAUAUAGAUAGAUUAUCUUUCCAUAAGGUUGAGCAAUCGAAUCUGACAAAUGUUAAAUACUACACUCAUGAUUUUAUUAUCGAUCAACUUUGUCUUGCUCACUAUGCUUGAGGUUAGAGAAGAACAAAUACACUUUUGGUUCUAUUGGUGUUUUCCACCAACAGGGCCCAUGCACUUGAUCUCUGCCUUGUCUCUAUGAGCAGGUACACUUCGAGCAAAAUAUGAAGGACUUUUACAACUCUCAGACUCCACUAAGUGAAGAACCUAGAUCUAAUUCAAGCACAAACACACUGGAGAUACUGGACACUCAGGCAAUCACUGUCCUGAGAUGCUUGAGGACGUAACUACUGGAGUAACCCCGUUGUGGAAGUAAUUACUGACCUUCUGCCAGUCAAGAGAGGCGAUCCAGGACGCCCCAUCAUCCCGAUCUCCAUCGGCAUGGUGGACUUCCCAAAAGCACUCUGCGACUUUGGCUCCAGCGUCAACAUUAUGCUUAGGAACCUCUGCGUCCGAGUUGGUACCUUGUACGCCCCAGCAGACUUCGUGGUGAUAGAGACUGGUACUGAUGAGAGGACACCCAUCAUCCUAGGGAAGCCAUUCCUGAACACCUCAGGAGCUGCCAUCUACGCUAAUGCUGCCAAGAUCAGUUUCUACAUCAAGGGGAAGAAGGAGACGUUUUCCUUCAAGAACAAGACUACACAAAUCUCAGAGCAAUCCUGACAUGAAACAAGGAAGAGGACCAACAGGAGGAAGAGGAACAAGCAAAUGUGGACCAAGUCAGCAAAGAUGGUCACUGCAGUUCAAGGAGGUCAAGAUCGUCGACUUAAGUCACCGUUCCUAACCAAAAAGGAUGACCCAAGUAUGCCAAGCAUCCAGUGCUCCAUUGAUGGAUACAACUUCCAGAAGAUGCUUUGCGACACCGGGUCAGGUGUCAACAUAAUGGCUGCCAGUCACCUAUCAGCUCCUAUUCGGAACCAUGCCCCUAAAACCGACAUACAUUCAGCUCCAGAUGAUUUUAAGGUUAUUGACAUGGGAGAAGACAAGUACGAUCCACCCAUCAUCCUUGGAAGACCGUUCCUCAGCACUGUUAAAGCAAUCAUCUACAUUGGCACCGGAGAAGUCCACAUGCACUUCCCCUCUGAGAAGGUACGCUGCUAUUUUACUGAGCUUAACUAUAUAGUUAAAGACUCUAAGCAGGUCAGGACAAGAAGAAGACGACGCAACCGCAACCAGAGAAGGCAAAUCAUCAACGACGGAUGGGCGGACUACGAAGGAGAAGUGGUAAUGUCAGAAGACAUACAGCUUGAACAGAACUGUCCUGAGGAGACCGUAGCACCGAGUUAGGUGUGGAGAAAGAAGAUAGUUAUACAUGAAGAGGAGGCACCGCCGGAACCACCGACUACGCCAUCCAGCGAAUCCCAGGACGACUGAGAAAACGGAGAGUCCCCUUCGGAGGACUUAAAAACACCGAACACCUUGCCAAGAGGUAAACUUGGUAGUUAUCUUUUUCCUUUCAAUUAUUUUAAAAUAGUUUGCUUAGUUAAUUAGGUUCACAUCAUCUUAAAAAGAAAAUAAAAAUGUUAAAAAUAGUAAGCCCCAUGUGAGUAUGCUCAUGGCAUAAAACCCAUAAGUACAUUCACUGUGGUGGCAUAAAAAAAUGAAAUAAAUAUAUUCCUAUCCUAUAAAAAUAAAAUUAUAAAAAACUAAAUUUAUAAUCCUACUAAAGAGAGUAACAUUUAUUAAGGAGGCUCAACAUGAUAAAGGCUAGAUAUUUAUGCUAACACUUAACUAGUUCCACAAAGUUUUGUUGUCUAUUUGAGCUCCACAGAAUUCAAGGAUCAAAGAAGACUAGCAGACGGAGGACAUUCUAAUCGCUAUCAGAGUGCUGCCGACAUUCAAAUACACAUCCGCCAGCUGCUAGCUACAUCAGAAGAAAUUUCGUCAAAAUCCAGCUUGGGGGAGAGCACCCCCAUUUAUCCAGCUAAGUAUUUUACUCACGUUUAUACUUUACUCCAAUAGUAAAAAGAUGCAUAAUCAUAUAAACCCAAAUAAAGAUUUUGUGCCUAUAUAUAUAUCUUUGCUUAGUUUGCUAAAUAAAUAAAUAAAUAAAGUUUGCUAUGAACCCUCAUGAUAAGCUCUCACAUGGAAAUAAUGAAUAGUUGCUCUGCCAUGACUAGUUCUUAAAAUUUAAAUCUCUCUCAAGUUUAGGCCUGACUGUUACUAAUUAAGAUUUACUCUAAACCUGAACUUGUGGGGAGAGUACUUGAUCUAAAGUCUAAGUCGUUAAUGGAUACAAUAUGGGAAGGUUGAGCUGCUGUUUAUCUGUUCCUAGAGAUGCUAGAAUUCUGGAGAAUUUUAUCUUUGAAAAUCUUUAAAUUGUUGCAUGAUGAGUUCCUGUAUGAUGAGAGUUUAAAUUCCUACCACAGCCAUAUAUACAUGCUUGUUAGACUAUGAACCACACAUUUACUUUUUACUGCUUAUGAGCAUUGAGUGUGGUCAAGCUGUGUAGACCCUUAGGAGCUUGUCAUGUGGUUAAAUCAAGAUUCACUUGCACGUUCACUCACACAUGCUACUUCUACUCCAGAAGUACCAUCUACAUAUAUCCAUCCAUUUCCAUCUCCAGAACCACCUAAAAAUAUUCUACUCCUAAUCCGGGAGAGAAUAGCCAAAAAUAUUCUCCUAUUUCUGUUUUUCCCUGUGAAAUAAUGCUCAAGUUAUCUUGGUUACUACCACUUGCUAUAUUAUUUCAGGAGAUGAGUGCUCUAAAAAAAGAAAAAAAAGAAAAAAAAGAAAGAAGAAGAUAAAAAAAAGAAAGAAUGCGAGGAAAUAAAAAGGGGCAAGUGCCCGGAACCUCGAAAGAAAAGAAAAAAGUGAGAAGAGAGGUAAAAAUGGACAAGUGUUCGAUAGUAGAAUUAGGGGUACAAGAUACCCACCUGAGAGAAAAGAAAAAGAAAAUAUAGAGCAUCUCAUUCUCCUCAGAAAGUUUCAAAAGAGCAAGGAAGGUAUGUAUCCCCUCAAAAGAGCAAAAGUAGAAUUAGACUUUCACCAUUGUUAUCACCAUCAUCACCAUACACCAUUCACUCGCCACACAUGCACAUCUUAAUUUGACUUAUUGAUUUGUUUCUUUGGAUCCAUGGUUUGACUAUACAAUACAUGUCUUGUAAGUAUGUAUACUUUAUCUCCCACCUAUGAGCUCUAGAUAUUAAAGUCUUAUUAGAGUAGGGUGAGAGAGAAGGCAAUGCCACUAUGCUUUAUACCAUAAAUACUACAUACUUUGAGAGAAGGCAUACACCAUUACUGCCUUGGUAAGGAUCCAGAAAUACCACAAAAGAGAGACAAGAGAGAGUCAUACAAGGAAUCUCUGAGUUUUAUUUGAAAAUCUGCAAAAACUCCUGAGCUAUAGUUGAUCAAGAACAUGAGACAUGGCGCUUGAUUAGACCGUUCUAUCUUUUAACUACUCAAGACAGAAGUGACGGUUACAAGUCCCAUGGUGAAAGGUAAAUGAGUAAGUUUUAAGUCUUAACAGUUUACUCUAACCAGAAAUGAGAUCUUGUUUAAACGCAUGUGUAUCUUUAAGUUAUGAAACCACUGCAGAAACUCUUGAGUUCAUCUUUGCUCAGGGACGAGCAAAGGUUAAGCUUGG